RNAcentral lists this ribosomal RNA (917 nucleotides) under Spirochaetaceae bacterium enrichment culture clone B4159. RNAcentral's name for it is "bacterial SSU rRNA". It matches the Rfam family "Bacterial small subunit ribosomal RNA", at positions 8 to 916 of the family's 1533-position model. The record is from RNAcentral. Lineage: Bacteria; Pseudomonadati; Spirochaetota; Spirochaetia; Spirochaetales; Spirochaetaceae.
AGAGUUUGAUCAUGGCUCAGAACAAACGCUGGCGGCGUGUCUUAAGCAUGCAAGUCGAGCGGCAAGGCGGGGCGACCCGCCCUAGAGCGGCGGACUGGUGAGUAACGCGUGGGUAAUCUACCUUGGGCAUGGGGAUAGCCAUUAGAAAUAGUGGGUAAUACCGAAUACGCUCGCGGGGGGAAGGGUCCUGUGAGGAAAGGGUGCUACGGCACCGGCCUGAGAUGAGCUCGCGUCCCAUUAGCUAGUUGGUGAGGUAAGGGCCCACCAAGGCGAUGAUGGGUAGCCGGCCUGAGAGGGUGUACGGCCACACUGGGACUGAGAUACGGCCCAGACUCCUACGGGAGGCAGCAGCUAAGAAUAUUCCGCGAUGGACGAAAGUCUGACGGAGCGACGCCGCGUGGAUGAAGAAGGCCGAAAGGUUGUAAAGUUCUUUUGCGAGGGAAGAAUAACCGCAGGAGGGAAUGCCUGUGGGAUGACAUGAACUUGCGAAUAAGCCCCGGCCAACUACGUGCCAGCAGCCGCGGUAACACGUAGGGGGCGAGCGUUGUUCGGAAUUACUGGGCGUAAAGGGCAUGUAGGCGGUCUGGUAAGCCUGGCGUGAAAGACCACAGCUUAACUGUGGGGUUGCGUUGGGAACUGCUGGGCUUGAGUGACGGAGAGGGAGCUGGAAUUCCUGGUGUAGGGGUGAAAUCUGUAGAUAUCAGGAAGAACACCGAUGGCGAAGGCAAGCUCCUGGCCGAUGACUGACGCUGAGGUGCGAAAGUGUGGGGAUCAAACAGGAUUAGAUACCCUGGUAGUCCACACGGUAAACGAUGUGCACUAGGUGCUGGGGCGGUAGCCUCGGUGCCGGAGCGAACGUGUUAAGUGCACCGCCUGGGGAGUAUGCUCGCAAGGGUGAAACUCAAAUGAAUUGACGG